This is a long non-coding RNA of Cucumis sativus (cucumber), 349 nucleotides long. RefSeq lists it as uncharacterized. The record is from RefSeq and is a predicted model, not a curated record. Lineage: Eukaryota; Viridiplantae; Streptophyta; Magnoliopsida; Cucurbitales; Cucurbitaceae. The transcript has 3 exons.
UAAAAAUUCUAAUCAUUACUUCUCCUUCCUUCAAAUAUCACUCCCUCUCUUCUCUGAGUUUCAUGCAGAGAUCGUCUCAAAACUGAAAUCCAUUUCGCUCCAUUUCUUUCUUACUUCUCUGCUCCCUUAAACCUCAACACACAGCUUUCGGAAAAUUAAAAAGUUUUUCAGGUUUUCAGAAUUAUGGAGGCAAGCUCGUGCGUACUUGAUGAUGCAGCUGAAGAUAUGAAAUUGGCAAUGUACUUGAAGAAUAGGCAGGAACAUAGCUCCGUAGACGCCGCACAAACCCCUGCAUCAGCCAGACAUGCGCUGCCACCAUCUAAUUCAGCUGUGGCGACCUCGAGUUGUA